This 254-nucleotide ribosomal RNA is filed under the name uncultured bacterium. RNAcentral's name for it is "partial 16S ribosomal RNA". It matches the Rfam family "Bacterial small subunit ribosomal RNA", at positions 524 to 776 of the family's 1533-position model. The record is from RNAcentral.
UACGGGGGGAGCAAGCGUUGUUCGGAUUUACUGGGCGUAAAGGGCGCGUAGGCGGCCAGCGCAAGUCAGUUGUGAAAUCUCCGAGCUUAACUCGGAAAGGUCAACUGAUACUGCGCGGCUAGAGUGCAGAAGGGGCAACUGGAAUUCUCGGUGUAGCGGUGAAAUGCGUAGAUAUCGAGAGGAACACCUGCGGCGAAGGCGGCAUCCUGGACCGGUAUUGACGCUGAGGCGCGAAAGCCAGGGGAGCAAACGGG